Molecule: long non-coding RNA, 1523 nt
Organism: Piliocolobus tephrosceles (Ugandan red Colobus)
Lineage: Eukaryota; Metazoa; Chordata; Mammalia; Primates; Cercopithecidae
Exons: 4
Source: RefSeq, a predicted model, not a curated record
CAGAGCAGCCAGCCUAGUAGCUCCCCGCUCUGACGCUUCUCUCCUCCUCCCUCAGGCUCUCUGAGGCUUCCGGGGCGUUCUGGGCUGCAACACCAGGCAAAGGCGGCAUGCUGAGCUCUAGUCCUCGUUCUGCCUCGACUUGCUGCAUCCACUUGGAAUUUGCUGUUGCCCCUCCCUCCCUGCCCUCUGCUCCCAGUCCCCACAUCUGGGCAGCUGAGCAGGACACAGAAGAACAUAGGCACAGCAGUCAGAGUACCUGGUUUUCCAUGUUUCAAGAGCCCACGCUCUGAAUAGUACAGAAAAUUUAGAAGCUCAUGGGAUGAACCAGAAAUAUCCUCCCCACCCUUGAGACCGGGGUAAAAGUGGCACAGACCCGGCACUGACGUGGUGAAUCUCACAGUGACAUGAACAUGGCAUUGAUGUGGAGGCUCUGAAGACACACUGUGGUCAGGAACAAGGAAGGACUCUGCAGUUCCCCGCAAAGUCUAGACAAGAACACAAGUUCAGGAUGCCCCUGCCUGGCCCAGAAACCACACUGCCAGGAAUAGGCCAGGACAUUUUACCAUCCUGUGCCCACUCCACCCAGCCUGGGGUGAGGGAAUGCGGGCAGAUGCUGGAUUGUGGCCACUGACCAGCCACAGAACCCAGCAGGGCCAUAAACAAGGCUGGGUGGGGUUUCCAGGCCCACUCAGUGAGGCUCGUUUAUUUGGACGAGGGCAGAGAGCACCGACCAGAGUGCCUCAAAAUAACUCACAUGGCCGGCCGGGAGCCAAUCCCUCCGUGGAAAAUUUAAAUGAAUUCUUCACAGUUGCAAGGCCCAGGCCCCCAGACAGCCCACCCAGAAUCACCGGACAUCAUGGCUCUGAUGGUUCCAGAAACCCAAGAAUGUUCUGGAAGCCCAAGGAAACCAUAGUCGGUCUCUGGUCUUCUUCACACAGCCAGAGGUCAUGAUACACUCAGAGAAGGAUGAUCCAGUCACCAACUGCUCGGCCCCUCAGGACGCUGGUGUCAGAAAGGCCCAUGCCUGCCAGCCUGGUCCUCAUGGAUACUGGGCUCUGGAGGAAGGGCUGCCCAGGUUUCACUUAGCGCUUCUGGGAGCAUCCUCCCCUCCUUAUCUGGGGACUCCAAGGCUCAGUCAGCUGCUCCUGUGAGGAAACAGACAGGUAGCAGCCAGUGCUGACCACCAGGCCAUCCCACUCCCAUGCCAGUGCCUGAGCCACAGUGACUGGGUCAGGCUGCAGAUGCGUGGUGAGGAGAGCAACUGGGGAGGGAUGAGGGGAGCUGAAGUGGGGAGGGAGGGAGGGAGGGAGGGAGGGAGUCUGAGGGAAGGAGCGAGAAUGGACCCCAAGGAGCAUGAGGCCAGCAGCAAAGGGUUAAGGAAAUGCACUCUCGGCCUGGCGCAGUGGUUCACGCCUGUAAUCCCAGCACUUUGAGAGGCCGAGGCGGGGGGAUCACCUGAGGUCAGGAGUUCGAGACCAGCCUGGCCAACAUGGUGACACCCCAUCUCUAUUAAAAAUACAAAA